ACCCAACUCCUAAGCAAUUUGAAACUCAUAUGCAACUCUCCCCCAAAAAAAAAUCCUUAAAAAUUACUGCUAACACCUCAGGCACAUCGCUUCCUUAUUGCAAUCUAAAACCAAUCUAUCUUUUGUAGAUAAUGAUAAUUCAUUUUGGCACAUUGGAUAUCAAAAGAAAAUUUUUAUUGAUUUUUUAAAUUGACAAUUAGGAUAUUGAAAUAUAUUAUUGCUAGUGAUGACAUAGAUCAUAGUCCCUGCAUAAGGCUUUAUGCCUUUCCAUGCAAAGGUAAAUAAGUAGUGGUGUUGUACGGCUUUAAAAACAAAAAACAAAAGCAGUG
Molecule: long non-coding RNA, 329 nt
Filed under: Elaeis guineensis (African oil palm)
Lineage: Eukaryota; Viridiplantae; Streptophyta; Magnoliopsida; Arecales; Arecaceae
Description: long non-coding RNA (EGUI_LNC028890)
Source: RNAcentral